AGAGUUUGAUCAUGGCUCAGGAUGAACGCUAGCGAUAGGCCUAACACAUGCAAGUCGAGGGGCAGCACAUGAAGUAGCAAUACGGAUGGUGGCGACCGGCGCACGGGUGAGUAACGCGUAUGCAACCUGCCUACAACAGGGGAAUAACCCGUUGAAAGACGGACUAAUACCCCAUAACACAGGGAUCCCGCAUGGGAAUAUUUGUUAAAGAUUUAUCGGUUGUAGAUGGGCAUGCGUUCCAUUAGCUUGUUGGUGAGGUAACGGCUCACCAAGGCAACGAUGGAUAGGGGAACUGAGAGGUUUAUCCCCCACACUGGUACUGAGACACGGACCAGACUCCUACGGGAGGCAGCAGUGAGGAAUAUUGGUCAAUGGACGCAAGUCUGAACCAGCCACGUCGCGUGAAGGAAGACGGCCCUACGGGUUGUAAACUUCUUUUGUAAGGGAAUAAAGUGUAGUACGUGUACUAUUUUGCAUGUACCUUACGAAUAAGGAUCGGCUAACUCCGUGCCAGCAGCCGCGGUAAUACGGAGGAUCCGAGCGUUAUCCGGAUUUAUUGGGUUUAAAGGGUGCGCAGGCGGGAGAUUAAGUCGGCGGUGAAAUUUUGCAGCUCAACUGUAAAAGUGCCUUCGAAACUGGUUUCCUUGAGUGUGGAUGAAGUAGGCGGAAUUUGUGGUGUAGCGGUGAAAUGCAUAGAUAUCACGAGGAACUCCGAUUGCGCAGCAGCUUACUAAACCAUAACUGACGCUCAGGCACGAAGCGUGGGGAUCAAACAGGAUUAGAUACCCUGGUAGUC
RNAcentral lists this ribosomal RNA (796 nucleotides) under uncultured Proteiniphilum sp. Its description in RNAcentral is "bacterial SSU rRNA". It matches the Rfam family "Bacterial small subunit ribosomal RNA", at positions 8 to 795 of the family's 1533-position model. Lineage: Bacteria; Pseudomonadati; Bacteroidota; Bacteroidia; Bacteroidales; Dysgonomonadaceae. The record is from RNAcentral.